RNAcentral lists this ribosomal RNA (725 nucleotides) under uncultured archaeon. RNAcentral's name for it is "bacterial SSU rRNA". It matches the Rfam family "Archaeal small subunit ribosomal RNA", at positions 52 to 780 of the family's 1478-position model. The record is from RNAcentral.
UACUAGUCGAACGAGUUCACACUCGUGGCAGAUAGCUCAGUAACACGUGGCCAAGCUACCCUUCAGUCAGCGAUACCCUCGGGAAACUGAGGCUAAUAGCUGAUACUCGACGCCAGCUGGAAUGCGGCGUCGUCGAAAGACAUCGCUGAAGGAUGCGGCUGCGGCCGAUUAGGUAGACGGUGGGGUAACGGCCCACCGCGCCAGUAAUCGGUACGGGUGAUGAGAGUCAGAGCCCGGAGACGGAAUCUGAGACAAGAUUCCGGGCCCUACGGGGCGCAGCAGGCGCGAAACCUUUACACUGCACGGAAGUGCGAUAGGGGAAUCCCAAGUGCGAGGGCAUAUUAGCCCUCGCUUUUGUUGACUGUAAGGUGGUCAACGAAUAAGAGCUGGGCAAGACCGGUGCCAGCCGCCGCGGUAAUACCGGCAGCACGAGUGAUGACCGCUCUUAUUGGGCCUAAAGCGUCCGUAGCUGGCCACGCAAGUCUAUCGGGAAAUCCGCGCGCUCAACGCGCGGGCGUCCGGUGGAAACUGUGUGGCUUGGGACCGGAAGAUCCAGAGGGUACGUCUGGGGUAGGAGUGGAAUCCCGUAAUCCUGGACGGACCACCGGUGGCGAAAGCGCUCUGGAAAGACGGAUCCGACGGUGAGGGACGAAAGUUCGGGUCACGAACCGGAUUAGAUACCCGGGUAGUCCGAGCUGUAAACGAUGUCUGCUAGGUGUGCCACA